UUCUUUAAGAGGCAUGAGAGGAAGCACAUCAAGUAUUUGAUAAAAUGUUACUUUGGGCUGAAUGAAUGAACUCACUCUCUUACUUUACAAAAGAGGAGGUUCAAUAUAUAUAUAAUGCAAACAUCAUCAACUUCAUUGCAAGUCCAACUUGCAAGCUCGGCUAGGAAUGGAAGAGCGAAGGAUAUUUUUGCAGAUUCUCAUUCAAUUUAAUGACCUAUUCAUUUAGGGGCUAGCUAAUCUGAUAUGUCAUGUUAGCUACUUGCAGCUUGAGCAUGAAUGGUAAUAGGUUUAUGCAUUUAGUUUUUGGGAACAUGAUGAUGUAUCUUGGUGCUAGUACUUCACUGUUUUAUGUGUAAUAAAUAUGGUCCCUCAGCUUCUUAAAGUGUAGAUAGAAGUAGGAUUCAGCAAUUUAAUAGCUAACAUAUAAGGUUUAGAUU
Quercus lobata is the source of this 437-nucleotide long non-coding RNA. RefSeq lists it as uncharacterized. The record is from RefSeq and is a predicted model, not a curated record. The transcript is spliced from 2 exons. Lineage: Eukaryota; Viridiplantae; Streptophyta; Magnoliopsida; Fagales; Fagaceae.